Molecule: ribosomal RNA, 498 nt
Filed under: uncultured bacterium
Lineage: Bacteria
Description: partial 16S ribosomal RNA
Rfam family: Bacterial small subunit ribosomal RNA
Source: RNAcentral
AUUGAACGCUGGCGGCAUGCCUUACACAUGCAAGUCGAACGGCAGCACGGGGCAACCUGGUGGCGAGUGGCGAACGGGUGAGUAAUGCAUCGGAACGUACCUUUCAGUGGGGGAUAACGUAGCGAAAGUUACGCUAAUACCGCAUAUUCUGUGAGCAGGAAAGCAGGGGAUCGCAAGACCUUGCGCUGAUUGAGCGGCCGAUGUCAGAUUAGCUAGUUGGUGAGGUAAAGGCUCACCAAGGCGACGAUCUGUAGCGGGUCUGAGAGGAUGAUUCACCAAACUGGAACUGAGACACGGUCCAGACUCCUACGGGAGGCAGCAGUGGGGAAUUUUGGACAAUGGGGGCAACCCUGAUCCAGCCAUGCCGCGUGAGUGAAGAAGGCCUUCGGGUUGUAAAGCUCUUUCGGCCGGGAAGAAAUCGCACGGGCUAAUACCCUGUGUGGAUGACGGUACCGGAAUAAGAAGCACCGGCUAACUACGUGCCAGCCGCCGCAGUAA